GGGUUGUGAGGUUAAGCGACUAAGCGUACACGGUGGAUGCCUAGGCAGUCAGAGGCGAUGAAGGACGUGCUAAUCUGCGAAAAGCGCCGGUGAGCUGAUAUGAAGCGCUAUCAGCCGGCGAUGUCCGAAUGGGGAAACCCAGUGUGAUUUGUCACACUAUCAUUCACUGAAUCCAUAGGUGAAUGAGGCGAACCGGGGGAACUGAAACAUCUCAGUACCCCGAGGAAAAGAAAUCAACCGAGAUUCCCCCAGUAGCGGCGAGCGAACGGGGAGCAGCCCAGAGCCAUCAUCAUUGUCAGCGCCAGGAGAACGGUCUGGAAAGGCCGGCAGUAAAGGGUGACAGCCCCGUAUCCGAAGGUGUUGGCAGUGUGAGCUCGAUGAGUAGGGCGGGACACGUGGUAUCCUGUCUGAACAUGGGGGGACCAUCCUCCAAGGCUAAAUACUCCUGACUGACCGAUAGUGAACCAGUACCGUGAGGGAAAGGCGAAAAGAACCCCGGCGAGGGGAGUGAAAGAGAACCUGAAACCGUGUACGUACAAGCAGUGGGAGCCCCACCU
RNAcentral lists this ribosomal RNA (557 nucleotides) under Escherichia coli. Its description in RNAcentral is "partial 23S ribosomal RNA". It matches the Rfam family "Bacterial large subunit ribosomal RNA", at positions 1 to 587 of the family's 2925-position model. The record is from RNAcentral. Lineage: Bacteria; Pseudomonadati; Pseudomonadota; Gammaproteobacteria; Enterobacterales; Enterobacteriaceae.